AGGAUGAACGCUGGCGGCGUGCCUAAUACAUGCAAGUCGAGCGGUAAGGCCUCUUCGGAGGUACACGAGCGGCGGACGGCUGAGUAACACGUAGGAACGGUACCCAAAGUGAGGGAUAAGCACCAGAAAUGGUGUCUAAUACCGCAUGUGAUCUUCGGAUUAAAGCUCCGGCGCUUUGGGAACGGCCUGCGCAUGAUUAGCUUGUUGGUGAGGUAAUGGCUCACCAAGGCGACGAUCAUUAGCUGGUCUGAGAGGAUGACCAGCCAGACUGGGACUGAGAACGGCCCAGACUCCUACGGAGGCAGCAGUAGGGAAUUUUCCACAAUGGGCGAAAGCCUGAUGGAGCAACGCCGCGUGCAGGAUGAAUGCCUUCGGGUUGUAAACUGCUUUUAUAUGUGACGAUUAUGACGGUUAGCAUAUGAAUAAGGAUCGGCUAACUCCGUGCCAGCAGCCGCGGU
Molecule: ribosomal RNA, 458 nt
Filed under: uncultured bacterium
Lineage: Bacteria
Description: SSU rRNA
Rfam family: Bacterial small subunit ribosomal RNA
Source: RNAcentral